GUGUGUGUGUGUGUGUGUGUGUGUGUUCUACAGUUAUUGGCUGAGUCACGUGAGCGAGAAGAAAGAGAGCAGCAAGCACGCACGUUGACUACUUUUUACCAGUUGUAGACCUCGUCAUGCUGAUCAGGGUGAAAUUCAAUGGUGAACGAAAAUAUGAGAAGAUCAUUGACCUGACACUUGAAAAUCUUUUGAUUGGAGAGAGCAUACUGAAGAAAAAGCCUGGUGGAGAGGUUGUCAUCAAGGAAUACUCCAAAACUAACUGACUGCACCAGACUAAAGGACAUCACCACCGCAUGAGAGAAACAUUUGCACAAGGCAUCAUCUCCUUGUUCCUAUACCUGAAGGAUUCCUACACGACAAAUGGAUAUGAACAUUACUACGACCCUAAUAGUGGAGAAGGGUACCUCUCGUAUAGAAUCAAAACCAUUCAGAUGAAUUUGGCUUCAUCAGAGAAACGGCCCACUCAACUAUACUCUGGAGGGCCAACUGCUUAGAGGGAGUCCAGUCCAUCCACUUUGGCUACCCUGAGGGAAGACCAGUGCAGAGAGGCCAUUUAUCUUAUGAAGCAUUCUUCUGAUGAAGAAACAGUCAAACAGAAGAUGAAAUUGACCUUUGAGUACAGGAAGAUGACCUACGACCCGAAUUGAACCUGAUUUUGUGCUGCUGUUUGGAGAGGGAACAUCAUUCAAGUUUUUGGAGAGGUGGCCAACUACAUUCAAGCAAAAUAUCAUCCUUCUAAGCAAGACCCUAAGCAAAGCAGAAUCUGCAGUUGAUGAGGGAGCUGAGGGAUGAGGGAGCUGACACGAAUGCUGAUGGUUACCGAAACACCACUUCAUGAUACAUUAUCCUCGUUGUAUGCGCUACGAGGCAAAACAUAAUUUCUUUAAAAAGCAACUGAAGAGUUUUAAGAAUUUCACUAUGACCUUAGCCAAGAAACAACAAAAUUACAUAGCAUAUAAUUGGGAAGCGUUCAGCCAGGGUAGACUAGCUAUAGGUCCAGGAUGGACUAGCUAUAUGUCCAGGGUAGACUAGCUAUAGGUCCAGGAAAGAUGUCAAGGCUCAAUCACCUGAAAGAAGGCCAUGAGAUUGCUACCAAGUUGAAUGUCUCAGUGCACACACACACGUUUUGUCAGUUAAAUGGGUAAAGCACCAUGGUACAGAAUAUCCUCUUGAUUUGGCCAUAUGUGGUGAAGUAGUCAUUGAAGUGCCAGUAUUGUACAAAAUUAAGGCUAUUGUUCUGAAAGAGGAACAUUUUUUUUUUGGUUAGGUCAGCUCUUGAAAUCUUAUGUUUUGUUGAUCAUUUGCAUGCAUUUGAAGUUGUUUUGAAGCCAAGUCCACCAUGCAAGGUAUUUCAUGUAAAUGACAUCAUGUACCACAAACCUUUUGAUUUGUCAAAUGGAGCAAGGGAUUUUUUUGACUACAUUGCCCCCACCUGUCACUUGAUAACAGUUUAAGCCAGGGCUGAUACUUAUGGUUAGGUUGUGAAAAACAUAUUUGUUUUUAAUGUAAAUGUCAGCAUUUUCCAACAAACCUAUUGAUUUGCUCAUGUCAUAUGGAGCAAGGGAUUCUUUUGACUAGAUUCUACUCUCACUUGAUAACAGUUUAAGCCAGGGCUGGGACUUAUGGUUUGGUCAUAAUGAACAUAUUUGAAUCUUGAAACAGCUUUGAUUGAGUUUAUUGUGAAAUUCCUAGUGCCUUUAUAAAAUCUAAUUUCCAUUUACAUGGGGGAAGAGUAAAUACAUUAACACUGAAUAAAGUAAACACAUUUUUACUCUAAUACUCAAAUAGUGUCACUACAACACUUAAAGUGUUGAAUACCUCAGUGUUCAUUUUGAUCAACACCGGCCAGUGUAGUGCAGUGUUAACUUUUUGCACUCCUCUGUGUUAAAACACUAGAAAUGUAACACUUUGAUCAGUGUACUUUUUACUCUGUGUAGAGUGGGACCAUAUAUACUCGCUGACAGUGUUACAUUUAACACUUAAAGUGUUGAUUUAACACUUUCAAAUUUACUGUGUAGGUAGACACCAACACCAUAAUAGGGAGGAGACGACUGGUUCAUAAAUGUGACCUGAACAACAUUUGAAAACCAUACCCCUUCAAUACAAUGGUUUAAAAUACAUGGGGGGUUCAUAGGUGCUCUGCUGUGAUAGGCUAAAAUAAAUGUUGUUUAGUGAUCACCAGAGAGGAGAAAGGAAGGAGGGAAGGCAGGAACGAAGAUAUGAGAUGUAGAGGAGCUGACACUGACUGCUUUGCUUUCUGUUGUUUCCUGUUUCCCUGGUGACCAAGCCAUAUCUGAUGAUGUCAUGGCUGCGAGGGUGUGUGAGAGACACUGAUAUCGUAACUACUGUCCUUUUACUAGGUCAUAAUAUAAGCUUCCUACACCCCACCCAGACCCCUCCCUCUUCAAGUAUAGACUUAACAUACACUUCCCACCUUUUUAAAAUCCUAACUCCUCCUUACAGCUGUACAGGACCCCACCUCCAUCCCACCUCUCCUAAUAUCUUCCCAGGACCCCACCAUAGUGCCCUCCGUAUGAACUGUGAGGCAGGAGCGUGAAGCCAGUGUAAAUGUUGCUGACUUGACAGAGCCAGGAGAAGCCAAACAGUCUUCAGAACUUUGCCGCAGUCAGAGAGAGCAUCAGGACAUGUUUCCGUUUUUCAGGAAUACACUAUUUUCAAACUAGCUUGUUUACCAUUAAAAACAAAUGUGGGGAGUCCAUUCAGGUGUCUUUUUACCCCUGCUCCGUUAGUUCACAAACAUUACAUUCAACCACAGCUAGAGGGAAAUCAGUCAGACCGUUAUGCCUCGUGUUCCUAUGGUAAACAUGUCAAAACAUGUUAGUGUAUAUUUUGGCUGAAAACAAGGUGUUUACGAGGGCAUAGUGUCAUUCUAUUCAGGGGUUACAUGGUUUUAGUGGGUAGGCGGUCAUUGUAAAUAAGAACGUUCUUGACUGACUUGCCUAGUUAAAGGUGAAAUAAAAUAAAAAUCCUU
Molecule: long non-coding RNA, 2992 nt
Organism: Oncorhynchus mykiss (rainbow trout)
Lineage: Eukaryota; Metazoa; Chordata; Actinopteri; Salmoniformes; Salmonidae
Source: RefSeq, a predicted model, not a curated record